RNAcentral lists this ribosomal RNA (1450 nucleotides) under uncultured organism. RNAcentral's name for it is "SSU rRNA". It matches the Rfam family "Bacterial small subunit ribosomal RNA". The record is from RNAcentral.
UGAACGCUAGCUACAGGCUUAACACAUGCAAGUCGAGGGGCAGCAUGGUCUUAGCUUGCUAAGGCCGAUGGCGACCGGCGCACGGGUGAGUAACACGUAUCCAACCUGCCGUCUACUCUUGGACAGCCUUCUGAAAGGAAGAUUAAUACAAGAUGGCAUCAUGAGUCCGCAUGUUCACAUGAUUAAAGGUAUUCCGGUAGACGAUGGGGAUGCGUUCCAUUAGAUAGUAGGCGGGGUAACGGCCCACCUAGUCUUCGAUGGAUAGGGGUUCUGAGAGGAAGGUCCCCCACAUUGGAACUGAGACACGGUCCAAACUCCUACGGGAGGCAGCAGUGAGGAAUAUUGGUCAAUGGGCGAGAGCCUGAACCAGCCAAGUAGCGUGAAGGAUGACUGCCCUAUGGGUUGUAAACUUCUUUUAUAAAGGAAUAAAGUCGGGUAUGGAUACCCGUUUGCAUGUACUUUAUGAAUAAGGAUCGGCUAACUCCGUGCCAGCAGCCGCGGUAAUACGGAGGAUCCGAGCGUUAUCCGGAUUUAUUGGGUUUAAAGGGAGCGUAGAUGGAUGUUUAAGUCAGUUGUGAAAGUUUGCGGCUCAACCGUAAAAUUGCAGUUGAUACUGGAUAUCUUGAGUGCAGUUGAGGCAGGCGGAAUUCGUGGUGUAGCGGUGAAAUGCUUAGAUAUCACGAAGAGCUCCGAUUGCGAAGGCAGCCUGCUAAGCUGCAACUGACAUUGAGGCUCGAAAGUGUGGGUAUCAAACAGGAUUAGAUACCCUGGUAGUCCACACGGUAAACGAUGAAUACUCGCUGUUUGCGAUAUACUGCAAGCGGCCAAGCGAAAGCGUUAAGUAUUCCACCUGGGGAGUACGCCGGCAACGGUGAAACUCAAAGGAAUUGACGGGGGCCCGCACAAGCGGAGGAACAUGUGGUUUAAUUCGAUGAUACGCGAGGAACCUUACCCGGGCUUAAAUUGCAGAUGAAUUACGGUGAAAGCCGUAAGCCGCAAGGCAUCUGUGAAGGUGCUGCAUGGUUGUCGUCAGCUCGUGCCGUGAGGUGUCGGCUUAAGUGCCAUAACGAGCGCAACCCUUGUUGUCAGUUACUAACAGGUUCCGCUGAGGACUCUGACAAGACUGCCAUCGUAAGAUGUGAGGAAGGUGGGGAUGACGUCAAAUCAGCACGGCCCUUACGUCCGGGGCUACACACGUGUUACAAUGGGGGGUACAGAGGGCCGCUACCACGCGAGUGGAUGCCAAUCCCCAAAACCUCUCUCAGUUCGGACUGGAGUCUGCAACCCGACUCCACGAAGCUGGAUUCGCUAGUAAUCGCGCAUCAGCCACGGCGCGGUGAAUACGUUCCCGGGCCUUGUACACACCGCCCGUCAAGCCAUGGGAGCCGGGGGUACCUGAAGUGCGUAACCGCGAGGAGCGCCCUAGGGUAAAACUGGUGACUGGGGCUAA